Molecule: small RNA, 548 nt
Filed under: Pongo abelii (Sumatran orangutan)
Lineage: Eukaryota; Metazoa; Chordata; Mammalia; Primates; Hominidae
Description: processed transcript
Source: RNAcentral
AGCAGUGCCAGCUGCACGGCACGCAGGAGGCUCUCUCCAGCCAUGUUGCUCGAGGCUGCACAGUGGGUUCUGACCGUGGAGUUUGAAGCCUCCCUACCCCAGGAGCCUUGGGCCGUGGCUACAGCAUUGCAGGUGGCUGUGAGGCUGUAGAUGUGGGUGCACUGGUGUGCCAGUCCUCGGUUUGUGCACGCCAGGUGGAUCAGCUCAAGCUCAAGGUGAGUCGGCUGGAGGAAGAGUGUGCACUGCUUCGAAGGGCCAGGGGGCCGCCCCCUGGGACAGAGGAGAAGGAGAAGGAGAAGGAGCCAGACAAUGUGGACCUCGUCUCUGAGCUGCGUGCUGAGAACCAGCGGCUGACGGCGUCACUGCGGGAGUUGCAGGAGGGCCUGCAGCAGGAGGCGAGCCGGCCAGGGGCCCCGGGCUCCGAGCGCAUCCUGCUGGACAUCCUAGAGCAUGACUGGCGGGAGGCGCAGGACAGCAGGCAGGAGCUGUGCCAGAAGCUGCAUGCCGUGCAGGGGGAGCUGCAGUGGGCCGAGGAGCUGCGCGACCAG